AACGAACGCUGGCGGCAUGCCUAACACAUGCAAGUCGAACGAGACCUUCGGGUCUAGUGGCGCACGGGUGCGUAACGCGUGGGAACCUGCCCUUAGGUUCGGGAUAACUCCCCGAAAGGGGUGCUAAUACCGGAUAAUGUCUUCGGACCAAAGAUUUAUCGCCUUUGGAUGGGCCCGCGUUGGUUUAGCUAGUUGGUAGGGUAAAAGCCUACCAAGGCGACGAUCCAUAGCUGGUCUGAGAGGAUGAUCAGCCACACUGGGACUGAGACACGGCCCAGACUCCUACGGGAGGCAGCAGUGGGGAAUAUUGGACAAUGGGCGAAAGCCUGAUCCAGCAAUGCCGCGUGAGUGAUGAAGGCCUUAGGGUUGUAAAGCUCUUUUACCCGGGAUGAUAAUGACAGUACCGGGAGAAUAAGCUCCGGCUAACUCCGUG
Molecule: ribosomal RNA, 433 nt
Filed under: uncultured bacterium
Lineage: Bacteria
Description: partial 16S ribosomal RNA
Rfam family: Bacterial small subunit ribosomal RNA
Source: RNAcentral